UGGCAACCAGGGCGAAGCUUCCUGAAAGCAUCCAUUUGAUCAGGAGGAUAGAGACAAUUCUGAAUGACAAAAUCAGAAGGAACCACAUCAGCCAUCUGAGCCCAGGAUUCAGAUUCCAAACGGCAUCACAUAAUGAAUAAUCCAGAGAUAGAAGAGAUACACUAUUUAUAAAGAAGACUGAAAGCCUGGGGAAAUGUUCCAGGCUAUUUUUUUUCUUAAGAUGAAUAAGCAUUUGUAAACAAAAGUAAAACCUUCCACAAACAAGGUUGCCUUUUUCCUGCAUUGCUAUUACUUAUCUUUAACAAUUAUAAGAUAAAAUGAAAUUUUAAAAAAAGAUAUUCUCUUUGCCUUUGCUACAGCAUAAAUUUCAAAAUCUUGCUCUGUGUGUGUGUGUGUGUUUGUUGUUGCUCCUGAAUUCAACAAGAACAACAUAAGGUGUUUGAUAAAAUUCUCACAUGACCCUCCUUCCAGCUGGCACAAUAAUUGACAUGCCAGAGUAAGCAGCAAGUUUGUUUUUAGGUAAAUGGAGCUGCCAUCUUAUCAAUAUUUCCUUUUCCCCCAAAUAAAUAUGGUUUCUCCAAACAAGUAUACUUUAAAGCAUAGGUAUUCCCUAGUACCCAAAAUAACAAAAAUGCUCAGUUCUGUAGUCUUUAUAUUAAUCCCCCCAAAAUAGUGACACAGAAUGUUCAGUCUUUGAAAGUGUGUGGUUAGAGCCUUUGCUGCAAACACCAUUAGAACAAAACUGAUUUGAAAUUCUGCUUCCUCUAACUACCAGUGCCAGCCAGCCCAUUGUCUUCUACCACUGUGGCUAUCAGAAGUGCAAAAGGGCACACAUCCAUUCAACAAGUAUCUGCAGGGAAGGAAACCACCUCUCCUUGCUCAGAUGUCAAACAAAAUCAAUAAUCAUUUGCUAAGGAAAGGAAAAGGGAGACAAGAACUGACCCCUUUCACCUCAAAUUUCUCAUUUCUUCCUUGUCUAGGCUGUACAGAAAUCCAUGUAACUGUUUUCCCUUUAAUGAUUUCUUCUGCCUUCUGCAUCUCACCAAUUAUGUUCUGAAGUCUUUUCAACAAUCGGGAAAUAUCUCUAUAAUUGCUCCAAAUUCAAUGAAAAUGAAUGCCCAUCUUAUGUUUCUUUGUACAGAUACUUUUAGAGAUAUAUCUGGGUAUUGCAAGUGCAAGAGUCCCAGUGUCUAGAACAGAACCUGCUACUGCUGAGUUUACAAAUGCU
This 1228-nucleotide long non-coding RNA is filed under the name Homo sapiens (human). Its description in RNAcentral is "HSALNT0141738". The record is from RNAcentral. Lineage: Eukaryota; Metazoa; Chordata; Mammalia; Primates; Hominidae.